UUUUUUGAUGUGUUUGUGGGAGAAGGUGAGGAUGAUGUCUUACUCCUCUGCCGUCUUGAGCCUUCUUGAAUUAUUUUUUUAAUUGUGCAAAUAAUACUUGAAUACUUGCUCAUUGUAGAAUAAUUCAAACCAUACAGAAAUAUAGGGAGUGAAAAAUAAAUUUCCCCUUUACCUCUCUGCACUCCUCCUCCCAGAGAAAACAAUUAUUAACAGUUUGAUUUGUAUUCUUUUACACAAACAUGACUACACAUAAUUAAGUCAAUUAAAAGGGAGGAAAAGUCUGUUACAACAGGGAAGUGAAGCCAGGCUGCCUGGGUUCUAACCCAGAUUCUACCACAUAAAACUGUAUGAUAUUGGAUGUCUUAUCUAACUUUUAUGCUCCUUGGUUUCCUCAUAUGUAAAAUGGUAAUAUAUCUGUUUCAUAGAGAUGUUAAAAGGAUUAAAUUAGUAUAUGUGAAGUAUUUAGAAAAGUGUUUGAUACACAGUACACACACAACACAUGAUGGAAUCCUACUGUUUGUAUGAUUUUUCAACUCGUAUUCCAUCAAUAAACACAGAGGCAAUACAAUGCAGUGAUUAAUAAGUUGUUCCCUGGUACAAAUUUACUAUUGUAAAUUUACUAUCUGGUCCCACCAUUUACUAUCUUUGUGAACUUCAAUAAGUAUAUAGCCAUCCUCUGUCUUUGUUUCUGUAAAAUGGGGAUAAUAGUUUCUGUUUUAAAUUAAGUCAUAUGCAUAGAAUGUUCAGAAUGAUUAUUACAUAGUAAUUACUUAUUUUUACAAUCAUUCCAUCAUUUUCCAUCAUUAAAAAUCCUCAGUUAGGUAUUUCAUAUAACAGAUAUAAGUUAACCACUGUCUUAUUGAUGGCAAUUUAUUUUUAAUUAUUCAUUAUUACAAAAUACGCUGGUUAGCAUACUGCUUUUUUCCUACUAAAAAAAUUUAAAAUAACCUUGUUUCUAUCUUCACUUGAAUGAAGAAAGCUAUUGCUGUUAACAUUUCCCACUGUCAUUAUCAUUUGCAUAUUGAAUAAACACUUUCGAGAUCCUCUUUUAGUAUGUGACCAUUACCAUACCAUAUAUGUAUUCAACCCACAAUCCAAAAAGGAUUUUGCCUGUGUUUGGACUGUUGGAAUUUCAGAGAUUGAAUUUUUCUUUAGGCAUCCUGAUAUUUGGAAAAGGGAUAUAUUGCACUCUUCUGUUUGGAAACCUUGUCUAAUAAAAUGCUUGGAGAAGCCUUCCUAAUUGAACUCCUAUACAAAGAACAACUUACAUGUAAGAAAACCUCAAAUGAUGAAAAAAAAACUGGGGAAAAGCAGAUAUUAGAUAUAGAAGACAAUUCACUAUCUCCUGAUAAAAUAGAAAUUCCAAACAAAGUCCUGAAAGCAAGUUUAACAGAGCAAAGUAAUGACACAAAUAAAAUAAAAUCUGUGGAUGAGCUAAAUGUGGCAAAAUGCAAAACUGCAUCUCUUCCAAGAAAGAAAUGUGUCUGCUGUGUUGCCCAUUCCAAAGAGAGAACAACAUGAUGUAAAGAAACUAGAUGUAUACCGAUCUUGGUCCUGUACAAAUAUUUGCCAGAAUUAUCCUGACCUGCAGAUUGGAGGAGACCACGUGGGUAACAUGUAUGAUUCUGGCUGCUUUGUGGAACACAUACGUGAUGAUCGUCCCCUUUUACUUUCAUCAGAUAUACCAUUGGGCCAUUCUCCCAUCAUUGGAUCUCUAAAGAAACUACCUGCCUCAAAGCUUUUGACUGGGGGUGAAACUCAAGAAAAAAGUACAUCGCUUCAUAAGCAACCCCUCUCUAAUUCUAUGCUUAAUAGUUAUAUGGAAAAAAAAAGUGGACGAACUCUACAAACAGUUUUUAGAAGAGAAUCUCACUAGGUGCUGUUCCAUAAACAAUCUUAUGGCUUCCAAUUUGCUAAUGAAUAAUGUAAAUCAGAUUAGCCUUCAAAUCUCUCUAGAGCAGAACAUGGAGACAUCAAAAGCUCAGGAAGUUCUUUUAUAUUCUUUAGUAAGAUGUAUUUUCUGCAACAUUUCCCAUGGAAAUAGUUCUGAAUUCAGCACCCCUAACUUACAAAUAUCAAACCAGAGAAGUAGGGAACUUGUAUUAUAUUUACAGUAAGCAAGUUGGUUGGACUGAUUUAUGAGACUGGAGCAACAGUAGUUUUUGGCUUAUUGUGGCAAAUCAGGCCUCUUUGGGGUGUGGCUAUUACAUUUCUUGAGAAAUUAUUUGACUAAUGGUACAUUUGAAUUCUUGUAUGAGACCAUUUCUAUAAUUAAGUUUUAUGACCACAAUUUAAAAAUUAUUUUGGUAUCUUUAAUGGUUAUUCCAUUCAAGUUUGUAUAUUCCAUACUUGCUUAUCUAUGUAGUUGUCACCAGCAUCCCAAAUUGAUUACCUCACUCUCACUCAUUAGAUUCAUUUACCACUAAAAUGGGCAAAAGUAAGAUAAGGAGAGAAUUGUUGUUCUUAGCUACUGAAAAAAA
Sus scrofa (pig) is the source of this 2480-nucleotide RNA transcript. It is a transcript of the gene named TLR adapter interacting with SLC15A4 on the lysosome-like, with no coding region annotated. The record is from RefSeq and is a predicted model, not a curated record. NCBI's taxonomy places the organism in Eukaryota, Metazoa, Chordata, Mammalia, Artiodactyla, Suidae.